RNAcentral lists this ribosomal RNA (406 nucleotides) under uncultured bacterium. RNAcentral describes it as "partial 16S ribosomal RNA". It matches the Rfam family "Bacterial small subunit ribosomal RNA", at positions 30 to 526 of the family's 1533-position model. The record is from RNAcentral.
AUUGAACGCUGGCGGCAGGCCUAACACAUGCAAGUCGAGCGAGCGGCGGACGGGUGUGUAAUGUCUGGGAAACUGCCUGAUGGAGGGGGAUAACUACUGGAAACGGUAGCUAAUACCGCAUACCAUCAGAUGUGCCCAGAUGGGAUGAGCUAGUAGGUGGGGUAAUGGCUCACCUAGGCGCCGAUCCCUCGCUUGGCUGAGAGGAUGACCAACCAACCCUGAACUGGGAAACGGCCCAGACUCCUACAGGAGGAAGCAGUGGGGAAUAUUGGACAAUGGGGGGAACCCUGAACCAGCCAUGCCGCGUAUGUGAAGAAGGCCUUAUGGUUGUAAAGCACUUUAAGGGAGGAGGCGUUACUCGCAGAAUAAGCACCGGCUAACUCUGUGCCAGCAGCCGCGGUAAUUC